Molecule: ribosomal RNA, 587 nt
Filed under: Salmonella enterica subsp. enterica serovar Enteritidis
Lineage: Bacteria; Pseudomonadati; Pseudomonadota; Gammaproteobacteria; Enterobacterales; Enterobacteriaceae
Description: bacterial LSU rRNA
Rfam family: Bacterial large subunit ribosomal RNA
Source: RNAcentral
GGGUUGUGAGGUUAAGCGACUAAGCGUACACGGUGGAUGCCCUGGCAGUCAGAGGCGAUGAAGGGCGUGCUAAUCUGCGAUAAGCGCCGGUAAGGUGAUAUGAACCGUUAUAACCGGCGAUACCCGAAUGGGGAAACCCAGUGUGACUCGUCACACUAUCAUUAACUGAAUCCAUAGGUUAAUGAGGCGAACCGGGGGAACUGAAACAUCUAAGUACCCCGAGGAAAAGAAAUCAACCGAGAUUCCCCCAGUAGCGGCGAGCGAACGGGGAGGAGCCCAGAGCCUGAAUCAGCAUGUGUGUUAGUGGAAGCGUCUGGAAAGGCGCGCGAUACAGGGUGACAGCCCCGUACACAAAAGCGCAUGUGCUGUGAGCUCGAUGAGUAGGGCGGGACACGUGGUAUCCUGUCUGAAUAUGGGGGGACCAUCCUCCAAGGCUAAAUACUCCUGACUGACCGAUAGUGAACCAGUACCGUGAGGGAAAGGCGAAAAGAACCCCGGCGAGGGGAGUGAAAAAGAACCUGAAACCGUGUACGUACAAGCAGUGGGAGCACCCUUUGGGUGUGACUGCGUACCUUUUGUAUAAUGGG